This 371-nucleotide ribosomal RNA is filed under the name uncultured organism. Its description in RNAcentral is "partial 16S ribosomal RNA". It matches the Rfam family "Bacterial small subunit ribosomal RNA", at positions 527 to 896 of the family's 1533-position model. The record is from RNAcentral.
GAAGGGGGCUAGCGUUGCUCGGAAUCACUGGGCGUAAAGGGUGCGUAGGCGGGUCUUUAAGUCAGGGGUGAAAUCCUGGAGCUCAACUCCAGAACUGCCUUUGAUACUGAAGAUCUUGAGUUCGGGAGAGGUGAGUGGAACUGCGAGUGUAGAGGUGAAAUUCGUAGAUAUUCGCAAGAACACCAGUGGCGAAGGCGGCUCACUGGCCCGAUACUGACGCUGAGGCACGAAAGCGUGGGGGAGCAAACAGGAUUAGAUACCCUGGUAGUCCACGCCGUAAACGAUGAAUGCCCAGCCGUUAGUGGGUUUACUCACUAGUGGCGCAGCUAACGCUUUAAGCAUUCCGCCCUGGGAGUACGGUCGCAAGAUUA